Molecule: ribosomal RNA, 496 nt
Filed under: uncultured bacterium
Lineage: Bacteria
Description: partial 16S ribosomal RNA
Rfam family: Bacterial small subunit ribosomal RNA
Source: RNAcentral
GAUGAACGCUGGCGGCGUGCCUAAUACAUGCGAGUCGAGCGAACAGACGAGGAGCUUGCUCCUCUGACGUUAGCGGCGGACGGGUGAGUAACACGUGGAUAACCUACCUAUAAGACUGGGAUAACUUCGGGAAACCGGAGCUAAUACCGGAUAAUAUAUUGAACCGCAUGGUUCAAUAGUGAAAGACGGUUUUGCUGUCACUUAUAGAUGGAUCCGCGCCGCAUUAGCUAGUUGGUAAGGUAACGGCUUACCAAGGCAACGAUGCGUAGCCGACCUGAGAGGGUGAUCGGCCACACUGGAACUGAGACACGGUCCAGACUCCUACGGGAGGCAGCAGUAGGGAAUCUUCCGCAAUGGGCGAAAGCCUGACGGAGCAACGCCGCGUGAGUGAUGAAGGUCUUCGGAUCGUAAAACUCUGUUAUUAGGGAAGAACAAAUGUGUAAGUAACUAUGCACGUCUGGACGGUACCUAAUCAGAAAGCCACGGCUAACUACGG